Molecule: small nuclear RNA, 101 nt
Filed under: Erpetoichthys calabaricus (reedfish)
Lineage: Eukaryota; Metazoa; Chordata; Cladistia; Polypteriformes; Polypteridae
Source: RNAcentral
GUAUGGCAGUACAUCCACUAAAAUUGGAGAAAUACUGAGAAGAUUAGCAAGGUCCCUGGUUCAAGGAUGACAUACAAAACUGUGGAAGCAGGCAGAGUGGU